RNA transcript from Quercus robur (English oak), 1658 nucleotides. It is a transcript of the gene named protein arginine N-methyltransferase PRMT10, with no coding region annotated. Lineage: Eukaryota; Viridiplantae; Streptophyta; Magnoliopsida; Fagales; Fagaceae. The record is from RefSeq and is a predicted model, not a curated record. The transcript is spliced from 9 exons.
AAAUCAAAUUUAUUCAAACUCAACCCAAAGUUUCUUCUGUCUCUGUCUCUGUCUCUUUUUUGGUAGCGCCUCUAGUGUUUUAGCAGUGACAUGGGGAGCUACCAAAACGGCGUCGUGGCGGGGGACCGAAGCGGAACCAGUAAUGGAGGAGGAGCCCCUGUGCCUGUGGUGGACAAGGAAUUGGAUUUUGCACAGUACUUCUGUACCUACGCUUUUCUCUACCACCAAAAGGAGAUGCUCUCUGAUCGUGUCCGCAUGGACGCUUACUACAACUCCGUCUUCCAAAACAAGCAUCACUUCAAAGGAAAGACUGUGUUGGAUGUGGGAACUGGGAGUGGCAUUCUCGCAAUUUGGUCGGCACAAGCAGGUGCGAGAAAGGUCUAUGCAGUGGAAGCAACUAAGAUGUCAGAACAUGCGCGUGCGCUUGUAAAAGCAAAUAACUUGGAAGGUGUGGUUGAAGUGAUUGAGGGAUCUAUGGAGGAUGUUACAUUGCCAGAGAAAGUUGAUGUGAUUAUCUCAGAGUGGAUGGGAUACUUUCUUCUUCGUGAAUCCAUGUUUGAUUCGGUGAUAUGUGCGCGUGACCGAUGGCUGAAGCCAACGGGAAUCAUGUACCCUAGUCAUGCCCGCAUGUGGAUGGCACCUAUUAGGACUGGAUUGUCAGAGAAAAAAAUAAGUGACUAUGAGGGAGCUAUGGAUGAUUGGCAUCAUUUCACAAACGAGACAAAAACUUGUUAUGGCGUUGAUAUGAGUGUUCUCACAAAACCUUUCUCUGAGGAGCAAAAGAAAUACUAUCUGCAGACCUCAUCGUGGAACAACCUUCAUCCACAUCAAGUUAUCGGGACAGCUGCUUUAGUAAAGGAAAUUGAUUGUUUAACUGCCACUGUUGAUGACAUCCUGAAAGUCAGAUCAAACAUUUCAUCAUCAAUAACUCUAGAGAACACAAGGUUCUGCGGCUUUGGAGGAUGGUUUGAUGUUCAUUUUCGGGGAAGGAAGGAGGACCCAGCUCAGAAAGAGAUUGAGUUGACAACUGCCCCAAGCUUUGAUAAUGGGACACAUUGGGGCCAACAGGUUUUCCUUGUGAAUCCUACAAUUCGUGUCACUGAAGGAGAUAAUUUAAAUUUUUCUUUCUUAAUGAUUCGCUCUAAGGAAAAUCAUAGACUCAUGGAGGUUGAGCUUGGCUGUGAGGUCAGACAGUGUUCUGGCAAUGUACUGCCAGCUUUCAAUAAGAAGUACUACAUAGAGUGAGAAGGAAGAUAAAUAGCUUACUUUGGUUUUAACAUAAUCAAAGGUUGUAGACCCAUUAUUGUUGAGAAAGGUUGGGUGCUUCUGGAUGUGUGUGAGCAUGAGCUUGUGGUUCAAAAUUCUCUAAUGAGCGUGUAUGACAAUCUUUUGGAUUUUCUUUGUAGUUUUUUUAUAAGAAGAUACUGUGUAGUUCUGUUACUACAAUAUUUUUUCUAGUUUCCAGUGUCUGGAAUCUGAAUGUAAGGAACACUUCCAGGAGAUAUGUUUCAGUGCUGAAUGGUUUCUAAGAUUUAGCUGGUCCUAUUUAUCAUGUCUUUUGAGUUCCUGGGAGUUUGGCAGCCAUUUUUUCCUCUGGAAUGUUCUUUUUUUGUUGUAAUGUUGCGUUUGUAAUGAUAAGUUAGAUAUCAACUUCAUCA